AUGAACGCUGGCGGCGUGCUUAACACAUGCAAGUCGAACGAUUAAAGCUCACUUCGGUGAGUGUAUAGAGUGGCGAACGGGUGAGUAACACGUGGGAAACCUGCCCCUUUCUUCGGGAUAACUUCGGGAAACCGUUGCUAAUACCGGAUACUCCGGGAUGGUCGCAUGGCCGACCCGGGAAAGCUUUAUGUGGAAAGGGAUGGUCCCGCGGCCCAUUAGCUUGUUGGUGGGGUAAUGGCCUACCAAGGCGAUGAUGG
RNAcentral lists this ribosomal RNA (257 nucleotides) under uncultured bacterium. Its description in RNAcentral is "partial 16S ribosomal RNA". It matches the Rfam family "Bacterial small subunit ribosomal RNA", at positions 29 to 282 of the family's 1533-position model. The record is from RNAcentral.